This 112-nucleotide ribosomal RNA is filed under the name Amphilophus citrinellus (Midas cichlid). Lineage: Eukaryota; Metazoa; Chordata; Actinopteri; Cichliformes; Cichlidae. The record is from RNAcentral.
GCUUACAGACACACUACCCUGAGCAUGCCUGAUCUCAUCUAAUAUUAAAAGCUAAGCUAGGUUGGGCCUAUUUAGUACUUGGGAAUAAUACUUGCCCCAGGUGCUAUAAUCC